UUUGUUUUUGAUUGAUAAACAGUUAGUAUAAAGGAGGACAGUAUACAAAACAAACAACAAAAGCAACAGUGAGAAUACAGGGGCACAGUAAAGAAAAUAAAUAAAAGAAGCACCAGGGCCUCAGGAUGAACUGUUUCACCUCCAUUGAGAGCUCCUUUGACUGCAUGUUGUGUGUUCACAGCAACAGCUUCCAAAUGCAAACACCACACCUGGAAUCAACUCCAGACUUUUUAACUGCUUAAUUGGUGACAGGUUAACGAGGGAAGAGCCCAUGCAGCCUUGUUUUUUUUUUUGCAGCUUUCUGAGUCAAUUGUCCAAUUACUUUUGGUCCCUUGAAAAAGAGGUGGAUGCAUAUUAAAGAGCUGUAAUUCCUAAA
Long non-coding RNA from Seriola aureovittata, 376 nucleotides. RefSeq lists it as uncharacterized. Lineage: Eukaryota; Metazoa; Chordata; Actinopteri; Carangiformes; Carangidae. The record is from RefSeq and is a predicted model, not a curated record. The transcript is spliced from 2 exons.